UUGCACCCAUUUUCUUUUUUUCAAAUGUGUCGUUCGACGUUACGCGCGACUUUAAUUAUGGUCCGCAGAUUUAUUCGCAAAUGUGAGUCACAGCGCCGUGGUAUUUUACUUGAUAUUUGAACGAGAACGUGAGGUGCAGUGCGCACGCACAAGGAAAUAAAUGACGGGUGCUUGGGCGAGAGUAGCACUAGGAUGGGUGACUUCCUGCGAAGUCCUUAUAUUUCACCCAUUUUCUUAGGAAGUCCUCGUGUUAUACCUUUUUUUUUGCAGAUGAUUCUUUCGACGAUACGCGCGACUUGAAUUAUG
RNAcentral lists this long non-coding RNA (306 nucleotides) under Carica papaya (papaya). Its description in RNAcentral is "long non-coding RNA (CPAP_LNC003566)". The record is from RNAcentral. Lineage: Eukaryota; Viridiplantae; Streptophyta; Magnoliopsida; Brassicales; Caricaceae.